This 1528-nucleotide ribosomal RNA is filed under the name Klebsiella pneumoniae. RNAcentral describes it as "bacterial SSU rRNA". It matches the Rfam family "Bacterial small subunit ribosomal RNA". RNAcentral also lists the same sequence under 1 other name. Lineage: Bacteria; Pseudomonadati; Pseudomonadota; Gammaproteobacteria; Enterobacterales; Enterobacteriaceae. The record is from RNAcentral.
AGAGUUUGAUCAUGGCUCAGAUUGAACGCUGGCGGCAGGCCUAACACAUGCAAGUCGAGCGGUAGCACAGAGAGCUUGCUCUCGGGUGACGAGCGGCGGACGGGUGAGUAAUGUCUGGGAAACUGCCUGAUGGAGGGGGAUAACUACUGGAAACGGUAGCUAAUACCGCAUAAUGUCGCAAGACCAAAGUGGGGGACCUUCGGGCCUCAUGCCAUCAGAUGUGCCCAGAUGGGAUUAGCUAGUAGGUGGGGUAAUGGCUCACCUAGGCGACGAUCCCUAGCUGGUCUGAGAGGAUGACCAGCCACACUGGAACUGAGACACGGUCCAGACUCCUACGGGAGGCAGCAGUGGGGAAUAUUGCACAAUGGGCGCAAGCCUGAUGCAGCCAUGCCGCGUGUGUGAAGAAGGCCUUCGGGUUGUAAAGCACUUUCAGCGGGGAGGAAGGCGGUGAGGUUAAUAACCUCAUCGAUUGACGUUACCCGCAGAAGAAGCACCGGCUAACUCCGUGCCAGCAGCCGCGGUAAUACGGAGGGUGCAAGCGUUAAUCGGAAUUACUGGGCGUAAAGCGCACGCAGGCGGUCUGUCAAGUCGGAUGUGAAAUCCCCGGGCUCAACCUGGGAACUGCAUUCGAAACUGGCAGGCUAGAGUCUUGUAGAGGGGGGUAGAAUUCCAGGUGUAGCGGUGAAAUGCGUAGAGAUCUGGAGGAAUACCGGUGGCGAAGGCGGCCCCCUGGACAAAGACUGACGCUCAGGUGCGAAAGCGUGGGGAGCAAACAGGAUUAGAUACCCUGGUAGUCCACGCCGUAAACGAUGUCGAUUUGGAGGUUGUGCCCUUGAGGCGUGGCUUCCGGAGCUAACGCGUUAAAUCGACCGCCUGGGGAGUACGGCCGCAAGGUUAAAACUCAAAUGAAUUGACGGGGGCCCGCACAAGCGGUGGAGCAUGUGGUUUAAUUCGAUGCAACGCGAAGAACCUUACCUGGUCUUGACAUCCACAGAACUUAGCAGAGAUGCUUUGGUGCCUUCGGGAACUGUGAGACAGGUGCUGCAUGGCUGUCGUCAGCUCGUGUUGUGAAAUGUUGGGUUAAGUCCCGCAACGAGCGCAACCCUUAUCCUUUGUUGCCAGCGGUUAGGCCGGGAACUCAAAGGAGACUGCCAGUGAUAAACUGGAGGAAGGUGGGGAUGACGUCAAGUCAUCAUGGCCCUUACGACCAGGGCUACACACGUGCUACAAUGGCAUAUACAAAGAGAAGCGACCUCGCGAGAGCAAGCGGACCUCAUAAAGUAUGUCGUAGUCCGGAUUGGAGUCUGCAACUCGACUCCAUGAAGUCGGAAUCGCUAGUAAUCGUAGAUCAGAAUGCUACGGUGAAUACGUUCCCGGGCCUUGUACACACCGCCCGUCACACCAUGGGAGUGGGUUGCAAAAGAAGUAGGUAGCUUAACCUUCGGGAGGGCGCUUACCACUUUGUGAUUCAUGACUGGGGUGAAGUCGUAACAAGGUAACCGUAGGGGAACCUGCGGUUGGAUCACCU